Long non-coding RNA from Vidua macroura (Pin-tailed whydah), 617 nucleotides. RefSeq lists it as uncharacterized. Lineage: Eukaryota; Metazoa; Chordata; Aves; Passeriformes; Viduidae. The record is from RefSeq and is a predicted model, not a curated record. The transcript is spliced from 3 exons.
GACAGGGUUUCCAAGGGCCCUCCCUUUGUGACACGUGGUGACAUAGGAGCUGGCGGUGACAAGAGCACGCCACAGUGCUUGGUGCACGCAUCAGGACAGGACAGAACCGAGUAGUGCUGUGAGGAGCCCCCCCACAGCGUGCUCAUUUGUGUCUGACCCAGCAAUUUUCCAAGGCGUUAUUCCUGCAGCUGACCUCGCGGCCAGACUGUGGGACUUGGUGAUCAGAAUCAUUUACGAGGAGUCUCCUGUCAUUGUGGCAGGAGCCCUCCAGACCAGAGUGCAGGACUUGCUGUCCUGCAGCCUUCCUGAGGCUCCUCUGUCUCAGGUGUCUUCAAGGGUCAACUGCAAUUGUUGACUUGGAUAUAUCCUGAGGCAUCUCUCUAGAAGGUGCCUUCAAGGCUAGCUGGUGGAAUGGCGGGCAGAUUUCUCAGCCUGUGCAAAGUGUUCAGGAGGGGAAAAAAGAAAGGCCCUGGAGUUGCCCCAGCACAACAGCCUGAAGAGCCAGAGCAGAUCCAGACACUGCAGGAUGAUGCAGCCCUGGGCCGGACACAAGAGCGGGAACCCGCCCGUGGCCGCUUCCGCAGAACCCUGAAGAUGUUCCGGAGGUUCCUGCACAU